Acanthosepion pharaonis is the source of this 109-nucleotide non-coding RNA. NCBI's taxonomy places the organism in Eukaryota, Metazoa, Mollusca, Cephalopoda, Sepiida, Sepiidae. The record is from the annotation of a GenBank genome assembly.
GCCACAUCACGUUGAAACGCUGAUUCCCGUACGAGCACCGAAGUUAAGCAACAUCGAACCUGGUCAGUACCUAGAUGGGCGACCGCUUCGCAAUACCAGUUGCUGUAAG